Long non-coding RNA from Amphiprion ocellaris (clown anemonefish), 2650 nucleotides. RefSeq lists it as uncharacterized. The transcript has 2 exons. NCBI's taxonomy places the organism in Eukaryota, Metazoa, Chordata, Actinopteri, Pomacentridae. The record is from RefSeq and is a predicted model, not a curated record.
GAGAUUUCUAUGCUAAAAGUCUUAUCUUAAGUUCCAUUUUAACUGUAUCUCUUUACAGAUAUUACAGAAGGACACGUUAAUAUGAAGUUAAAAGCACCACCAGAAAGCAAUAAAGUGGACCACACAUAUGGACAAGGUGUGGACACCUGCAGACUGUCUUCUGCAGCUGAAGCCAUUGAAGGAUAAUUCAGAGAGAAAGAUGACAGAAUAAGAGAUGGAAAGAAAGAACUCAAGGCCUGUAAGAAGAUUCUGAAUGAAAAUAUUACAGAACUGAGGGAAGAGAACAAAAGAAUGGAAGCGGAAAGAAAAUUGCUCAAAGAGAACACCAAAGAGCAUGAGUAUGUCAAGGUAAAUAUGAAGGAGGUAUUCAGAAAACUGAAGGAAAGGAAGUAAGAAGAGGAAGAAAAUCACUGAGGGCAACAAUCAGAAACUGGAAGAACAGGAAAUAGAAAUAGAGGCAACAAGUAAAGACCUCCAGGAGGGAAAAAAAAAGAGAAUUGGAGGCAAAGAACAACGAACUCCGAGGGUGAAAAAAAUGCCUGGAAAAGAAGAACAAGGACCUCCAUCAGCAGAAGGAUGAAAUCAAGGCAAAGAGCAAAGACCUCAAGGAGAUUGUAAAAGAACUGGAAAACAAGAUGAAGGACCUCCAGAAUGAAGAGAAAGGCAAAGAGCAAAGACCUCCAAGAGGUUGCACACAUUUUUCAUGUAGUGGAGAAAUUGUGAGAAAGAGAAUAAAUUAACAGCACUUUUUUUCAUAAAACUUAUCGGGUCAAAAUUUACCCAGUCAAGCUGAAUGAAAAAUUCAGGAUUUUCAAAAAAAUCAUAAAACUUUCAACUGUGAUUGAAUGAAAACCCUAAAAGAUAUCAAAACAGAUUUAAUGAAUCACAUUGAAAGUCUUGAAACCAAUUUAAACUUUGAAUUAAUUUUCUACUGUAAAGUAUGCCAGAGCCACAGGGGUCUAAAGAUGGCUGGGUUUUGGCAGUUGUAGGUCAAUUUCCUAUUCAUUUCAAUAAGUUUUUUUUUUUAGACAGCUUUUUACAAAUCACUAUUGGUAUCGAAGUAGAAUUUACAGCAAAUCAGUGCUUCAGUUGUUGGAAACAAUUAUGUAACAAAGUCUGACAGAUGUGACAGAAGAUCUGAAGCUGUGUUGAAGUAUAAAACUUUCCUCUGUUGCCACUUUUACAUCAUAUUUAAAUAGCUAAAGCUGGAAUCAACUGUGACUUAGAUUCAGUUAUCACAAAAAAACAUUGGUGGUUUUCUAUCAUUUACAAAGAAAUGACUUGUUUGUCUGUUGGGGCUGUUUUGAUUUUCACUUGCGUAAAUGGAAAUUCACUCAUCAGGACUGCGUAUGUGGAGAGACAAACAAAAGGAGGUGCUAACUUUGUGAUUGUCCAGCAGAGGGCAGGAUUUAUGCCUUCACCAAACAGUAGAUGCACUAGAAGCAUGUCAGAACAUGUCCAGAGCAUCUUCGUGUGAGGAACAAGGCCCAGAAUCUCCCUUUUUGUUGCCAGGAUUGUCCCCAUCACAAGGACACUGAUCGUUGAUGAUGAAACGAAGGUUAGGAAUCGGAAAUGCACUGCUGUUUACAUACUUGUUUGGUUGUGUGCAUAAUGUCCUGGGUUCUUGACUACUUUCACCAAAAAUGGAAACAACACCGGCACUGAACCCAAAAGAAUUAAUCUGCAUUGAUUGGAAAGCAGUCGUCCAUUAAACUGAUGAUUGAAUGUGUCACUGAUGUCCUGCCAGAGUCGCUUUUUAAUCAGCAAAUGUGGUUUUUCAUGACUUGGUUCUAAUUUUUGUUUAUCAGAAUUGGAAAUACAGUUGUUGUCAUUCAAGGUCAGAAAUACAAACAGUACAAAAUAUAUAGGUAAGCAUAAGUAGAACAAUAUGACCUAAAAUAUAAACAUAAGUAGAAACAGUAUUAGCAUAUGUAGAAUGUGCUUUUCCUUAGAAAUAAAGUAUACAGUGUAAUAAAUACCGUGUUAUUGCAUGUCAUUGAAAUAUUAAAUGCAGAUUGGCAUAAUCUUGUUUCGCUAUUUUAACUGCUAAAUAACAAGCAGUUAGAAAUGCAAAACAAUAUAGCUAUCUUUUACGUUGUAGAACUGCUUCCAGAAUAAAUGUAACUUGGCUUCUAGGAUUUAGCCACUAGCCUGGGUUGGCCUGCUUUGUAAGAAGUGCAUCAGUGACCAACCUGUGCUGUUCGCCUUCCCCCAUCUUCAGAGCUGAAUCUGUGCUGGAAACUGUCCAAGCUUUCAGACAUCAGCCUUAUUUUACUGUUAGUAGAUCCCAUCACAGCUAUGUUAAGUUGCUGCUCAUGUAAACUAAACUUUUUCUUUCUUUUUUGUCUAGGAAAAGCAAGAAAAUUCCAUUUGUUUAUCAUAGGGUUAGCAGAGCUUCAUUACAGCUACAUACCUGUCUGUACAGUGCAAUGGAAAACCACUUCUAGCAAGUGGAAUUGUAGCUAUUUUAAUAAUCACCAGCUAUUUUCAUAAUCGAUUAUCUGGUUUUAGUAUAUUUACAGGAAAAUAAAGUCUAAAUGUUGUGGUUUUGGCUUCCUAAAUGUUAAUAUGUUCUGAUGUCUUUCCUCCUCUUGGACAGUAAACUGAAUAUUUUUACAUUGUGAAAGAAAACAAACAUGUUCAUACAUAA